AUUGAACGCUGGCGGCAUGCUUUACACAUGCAAGUCGAACGGUAACAGGUUAAGCUGACGAGUGGCGAACGGGUGAGUAAUGCAUCGGAACGUGCCCGGUCGUGGGGGAUAACGCAGCGAAAGCUGCGCUAAUACCGCAUACGGUCUGAGGAUGAAAGCGGGGGGCCGUAAGGCCUCGCGCGAUCGGAGCGGCCAAUGUCAGAUUAGGUAGUUGGUGGGGUAAAGGCUCACCAAGCCAACGAUCUGUAGCUGGUCUGAGAGGACGACCAGCCACGCUGGGACUGGGACACGGCCCAGACGCCUACGGGAGGCAGCAGUGGGGAAUUUUGGACAAUGGGCGAAAGCCUGAUCCAGCAAUGCCGCGUGCAGGAAGAAGGCCUUCGGGUUGUAAACUGCUUUUGUACGGAGCGAAAAGGUCUCCUCUAAUACAGGGGGCUCAUGACGGUACCGUAAGAAUAAGCACCGGCUAACUACGUGCCAGCCGCCGCCGUAA
Molecule: ribosomal RNA, 493 nt
Filed under: uncultured bacterium
Lineage: Bacteria
Description: partial 16S ribosomal RNA
Rfam family: Bacterial small subunit ribosomal RNA
Source: RNAcentral